GCUUAACCGAAGAAGUGCAUCGGAAACUGGGAGACUUGAGUGCAGAAGAGGACAGUGAACUCCAUGUGUAGCGGUGGAAUGCGUAGAUAUAUGGAAGAACACCAGUGGCGAAGGCGGCUGUCUAGUCUGUAACUGACGCUGAGGCUCGAAAGCAUGGGUAGCGAACAGGAUUAGAUACCCUGGUAGUCCAUGCCGUAAACGAUGAGUGCUAAGUGUUGGAGGGUUUCCGCCCUUCAGUGCUGCAGCUAACGCAUUAAGCACUCCGCCUGGGGAGUACGACCGCAAGGUUGAAACUCAAAGGAAUUGACGGGGGCCCGCACAAGCGGUGGAGCAUGUGGUUUAAUUCGAAGCUACGCGAAGAACCUUACCAGGUCUUGACAUCUUCUGCCAAUCUAAGAGAUUAGACGUUCCCUUCGGGGACAGAAUGACAGG
This 432-nucleotide ribosomal RNA is filed under the name uncultured bacterium. RNAcentral's name for it is "bacterial SSU rRNA". It matches the Rfam family "Bacterial small subunit ribosomal RNA", at positions 607 to 1038 of the family's 1533-position model. The record is from RNAcentral.